Molecule: non-coding RNA, 125 nt
Organism: Hordeum vulgare subsp. vulgare (domesticated barley)
Lineage: Eukaryota; Viridiplantae; Streptophyta; Magnoliopsida; Poales; Poaceae
Source: Rfam
GAUAUACUCCCUCCGUUCUAAAAUACUUGUCAUAGGAAUAAAUGUAUCUAGACAUAUUUUAUUUCUAGAUACAUUUACUUUUAUCCAUUUUUACGACAAGUAAUUCCAGACGAAGGGAGUAUCAU